GUAAACACUGGUACAUGUAGUUUACCAAUUUGAUCGGAACCAUGACUCAACAUAUUUUUUGCUCAUACUUUCUUUCUCGUUUAUUAUGUUAGUCACUGUCUAGUUUUGUUUCUGUUUUGAGCUAUGGUGUUGGUGAAAUUUUUUCUUUAACUAUUCUUUAUAUUGCUGUUAUUCUUAAUACUUAUUGUUGUGUUCUAAUUUUGUUGUACCACACUGUAAACUGAAUGUUCAAAUAAAGCAUAAUAUAUAUAUAUAUAUAUUAUGCUUUAUAUAUAUAAUUAUUUAUUUAUUUAAAAAGAUCUGCUCAGAUAUGGCAGCAAAAUCCCUUCACGGACUGGCGCGCGAGGCGGCGCUCGCUUAUGGAGAUAUAACAGCUGUUAGGUUCGACAGCAGCGUUGCAGCGCGUGUGUCUAUGACAUAUGAUGAAUUAAUUAACUGAACACCUGCGCGACUCUGUCCAAAAACACGAUGGCGUUAUAGGGUUAAUCUGUCAUACAGAUGUCUUCCUUCCUGUCUGGAUUAUUGGUGUUUUGCAGUUUCCUGCUGCAUAUGUACUCCUUGAUCCUGCAUCACCAGCUUCAUGCACCCUGAGAACGAUAAACAAGUGCAGUCUGAACUUCUGCUUGAUACAGAGUGACUUGCUUCAUGUGGGUUUAAUACAGUUGCCAGUUUUACAACAUUCUAUUCUAUUAAAUUCUGUUCUGUUAUAUGAAACCAACAGCCAUUCCAGAAUGCAUUUUCCAGACUGCUAUCCCUGGAGGUAUAGUCAACACUGCCGUCACAUAAACUUACUCUAACAGAGAUACAAAGAGAACAGGAUGCAAACAUUCAGCUGACAGAGGUUGAACAUCAGCAUUCCAACUCUGCUAUAACUAAAGACAUCCACCAGAGAGAGCCGUUGGCUUAUGUUUUGCACACAUCUGGAACAACGGGGCUACCAAAGAUAGUGGCGGUCCCACACAGAUCUCUAUUUAAGAUGACUGCAGAAGAUACCGUGUUCCUUUCCUCUCCGCAUUUGAUCCGUCUGUGGUAGAGAUGUUUUUGGCCCUGUCUUCUGGAGCAUGUCUCCUCAUUGUUCCCACUGCUGUUAAAAAGAUGCCACGCCGACUUGCACACGUGUUGUUCAAACAAAACACAACAACAGUCUUACAGGCAAGUGACUUUGAUUCUUAAAGGGAUAGUUUGCCCCAAAAUGAAUAAAAGAAUGAAAUGAAAAUCCCCUUCAUGAUGUUCCAAAGCCAUAUGACUCUGUUUCCUCCAUGGAACACAAAAGAAGAUGUUACACAGAAUGUAACCCUCAGUCACCAUUCACUUUCAUUGUAUGGAACAAAGAUAUCAUUUUAAUUUUUGUCUGAACUAUCAUUUUAAGCUCCGGAGCUAUCAGUCACGAGGCCUGUUUGUGACAGCCUUUAAUUCGAGAUUUUAACAAUCAAAACACUUUAUAACUUCAUUUAUUUGCUUGGCAGGUGCUUUCUUAAAAACAAACACAUGCUGUGUUGCUGAGAUAAUGAUGCUGUAAUCAACUUGGGUAGAGGAAGCAGUCAAUUGAAAUUGGUGCAUUAUGCAGAUUACAGAGAUAAUGAGUGGCUUCUGUGGCAGUGUUUAUUUAUGCCCAUCAACAGUUUGUUUUUGAUAGUUUGUUUAAAGGUAUAGUUCACCCAAAAAAUGAAAAUUCUCAGCAUUUUCUUACCAUUAGGGGUGGGCAAUAUGACCAAAAUCUUGUAUCACGAUAUGAAUAAUAUGAAAUCACAAUAACAAUAUAUAUAUAUAUAUAUAUAUCACAUUAUUGUCAUUUUUUUCCUGUAAAAUCAAUAAAAAUAGGUUUAUAUAACCACAUUGUAAUGCCUAUUUUUGAUAAUCCAGGCAGUGAAUUAAAUACUUUAUAAAUUAAAACUUCUAACUCUUAGAUAAUUUUCUCCUUACUCGGAACUUGAAAAACAUAGUUAAAAAACAAACAAACAAACACUCAACUUAAUUUUAAAGGUGCACUCAGUAAUAUUUCUAAACUUCUAAAGACAUGAAUUGUAAUUUUGCAAUAUCUGUAGGAAAUCAUGACCACUUACAUUAAAAUGAAAGACAUCAGUCAUAUCAGUAACCUUAUAAAAGCUGUUUUAUUCUACAUUUAGAAGGUCCGAUCAUGGGGGCUGCCAUGUUAGAAUCACAUGACCAGCCAAAUACUACUCGCAUAAUCUCAGUAAGCAUCCUGUUAUUUGACACUUUCAUUAAUAGAUUAAAGUAAUCAUGGCUGACUGUGAAUAAUACUGCUACAAUGGCAUCUGAAACUGAAAACUAUUGAUUUUAAAUGAUGCUGCUUCCAAGCCGCUAGGUGUCAGUGUAAGUCCAAGAUGACACAAAGACAAAAGUUAUUGAGUGCCCCUUUAAAACCCAGUUACCAUAAUGCUAAAUUUCACAUGGCACAUUUCAGUCUGAUAUGUUUAUGACCUGUAUUAUUAUAAUUAUAAACUUUCCUUAAGAAACUCAACAUCAAGUUUAAUGUUAUUAAAAUGAAUUGUAUUCUAAAAUUUAACUACCUGCUACAAUCUCUCUCUGUAGAUGUCCCCCUCUCUUAUUUCAAGCAAUUUGAUAGCAUAGCGAAGUCCUUCAUUUGGAAUGGUAAACGUCCUAUAUUACAUUUUAAUAAGUUACAUAGGCCGAUAGACAAAGUUGGGCUAGGCCUACCCAAGAUUUUGUUUUAUUAUUAUGCAUUCAGUCUCAGACAUGUGGCUCAUUGGUCGCAUCCACCUGAGAGAGCCCCUCCCUGGUUUUGUAUUGAACAGGAAGUUCUUGCCCCUUUUUUGCCAUUGCAAAGCAUUUCUAUCAAACUAAUCGGAAAAGUUAAGUUACACCCUGUUAUCUCGCAUUUGCACUCGGUAUGGACAAAAAUGUCUAGAGUGUUUAAUUCGGACAUUUAUUUAAAUGUUGCCUCGAGCAUAUGGCUGAACCCUAAAUUAUGUAUUGAUAAGUCCCCUUUCUGCUGGUCAGAGUGGUGAGGAGGGUUAGUACACUCGUUGACAUAUGAGAGUGGAGUGUUGAGAUCCUUUUAAAAUAUGGUUCAACAUUUUGGGAUUCCCAGAUCUCAGUUCUUCAGGUAUUUACAGCUGUGCCACCUGCGUUGUACAAUUUUUGGGAGUAGCAUACACCCCCCUAAAGCGGCAGAUACUAUGGGAGUGGUGAUUACUGCUUUUGGAAAAGGUCAUGAGGCAUCAGUGUAUUACUCCCUGCUAAUUCAGAGUCUGGGGGACGGAACUUUAACUUCUAUCAAGAGAUUAUGGGAGAAAGAUUUAAACUUGGUAUUGGGGAGGGAGUGUGGGCUAGGAUUCUUUAAAUGUCAAGUUUGCAUCUAGAGAUGCAAGGGUGCGUUUUAUGCAAUUCAAGAUUUUACAUAAAUUUUAUUAUAUAAACCCAUGUUUUUUGGGGGUGUGUUAAGAUCCAAGAAUUCUGGUUGAAGGUUCAGAGUUGUAUGUGUGACGUUUUGGGCACUCAGAUUUUACUUUGCCCCAGACUCUGUAUUUUGGGUGAUGGGGUGGUCAUAAAUUUGGGGGAUAAACACAAAAAAUUGGGUUCUGACCAGUAUCAUGAUUGGCAGGCAAAUUAUUUUAAGGGGAUGGAAGUCAGAAGGAGCGCCCUCAUUUACGGAGUAGUGUGCAGAGAUGGGGAGGGUGGCUGCUUUCGAGGAGGUGGCAAG
Long non-coding RNA from Myxocyprinus asiaticus (Chinese sucker), 3685 nucleotides. RefSeq lists it as uncharacterized. The transcript has 3 exons. NCBI's taxonomy places the organism in Eukaryota, Metazoa, Chordata, Actinopteri, Cypriniformes, Catostomidae. The record is from RefSeq and is a predicted model, not a curated record.